RNAcentral lists this long non-coding RNA (282 nucleotides) under Olea europaea (common olive). Its description in RNAcentral is "long non-coding RNA (OEUR_LNC011935)". Lineage: Eukaryota; Viridiplantae; Streptophyta; Magnoliopsida; Lamiales; Oleaceae. The record is from RNAcentral.
GUUGACCUUGGUGAAACUUUUCUCCUGUGACCUUGCUAAAGUCCAUUCGGGUUUUAUUUGCAACAGUUGCAUAUCGUAACUAAAGAUUAAGAUAAGUCUCUAUGGAGCUGAAAUCUUCGAUUUGAUGAAAAAGUCAAAGCGUUUGAUUUUAUCAAAUUUGAAGACGAAUUGUGUGUUUACAAGAAGAUAGUGGGAGCAUUUUUCGUAUUCCUAAAACGACAUCGCUAUAUUUCAAUCGUUGAAAUAAUGGUUGUUAAAAGAUUUAUUCAUAAAUGAUAUGGG